GUACCAAAAGUUAAUUUGGGGGAAAGGUUUUUUAAUAACCUUUACCAAUUUAGCCUAUUUGGGAGAAUAAAUUGACCACAUACUCCACAAUGGGCUAUGCCAUUUAACAUAGUUCAUUACUAAAUUUGUGGCCUACAUU
Small nucleolar RNA from Perognathus longimembris pacificus (Pacific pocket mouse), 139 nucleotides. RefSeq annotates it as small nucleolar RNA SNORA4. The transcript has a single exon. The record is from RefSeq and is a predicted model, not a curated record. NCBI's taxonomy places the organism in Eukaryota, Metazoa, Chordata, Mammalia, Rodentia, Heteromyidae.